RNAcentral lists this ribosomal RNA (497 nucleotides) under uncultured bacterium. RNAcentral describes it as "partial 16S ribosomal RNA". It matches the Rfam family "Bacterial small subunit ribosomal RNA", at positions 28 to 507 of the family's 1533-position model. The record is from RNAcentral.
GAUGAACGCUGGCGGCGUGCCUAAUACAUGCAAGUCGAGCGAACGGACGAGAAGCUUGCUUCUCUGAUGUUAGCGGCGGACGGGUGAAUAACACGUGGAUAACCUACCUAUAAGACUGGGAUAACUUCGGGAAACCGGAGCUAAUACCGGAUAAUAUUUUGAACCGCAUGGUUCAAAAGUUAAAGACGGUCUUGCUGUCACUUAUAGAUGGAUCCGCGCUGCAUUAGCUAGUUGGUAAGGUAACGGCUUACCAAGGCAACGAUGCAUAGCCGACCUGAGAGGGUGAUCGGCCACACUGGAACUGAGACACGGUCCAGACUCCUACGGGAGGCAGCAGUAGGGAAUCUUCCGCAAUGGGCGAAAGCCUGACGGAGCAACGCCGCGUGAGUGAUGAAGGUCUUCGGAUCGUAAAACUCUGUUAUUAGGGAAGAACAAAUGUGUAAGUAACUGUGCACAUCUUGACGGUACCUAAUCAGAAAGCCACGGCUAACUACGUG